AACGCAUAUUGUGCCCUUUAGUAUUCUGAAGGGCAUGCCUGUCCGAGCGUCAUUAUCAACCAUCAAGCCUGGCUUAUUGUUGGACCUUGCGGAUGCCGAUGAUCGGCAAUGUCAGGUCUUUAAGGUAGUGGCGGUGUCGUGAUGGACCCCCAGAUACAAUGAGCUCUGUAUGGCAUGUAUCUAGGUGGUCCACCGGCCUAGCCUCGAAAUCUUAUAUUGAGGGUUGACCUCGGAUCAGGUAGGAAUACCCGCUGAACUUAA
This 261-nucleotide unclassified non-coding RNA is filed under the name uncultured Ascomycota. Its description in RNAcentral is "sequence contains 5.8S rRNA gene, ITS2, 28S rRNA gene". Lineage: Eukaryota; Fungi; Ascomycota. The record is from RNAcentral.